This 138-nucleotide small nucleolar RNA is filed under the name Ornithorhynchus anatinus (platypus). The record is from RNAcentral. Lineage: Eukaryota; Metazoa; Chordata; Mammalia; Monotremata; Ornithorhynchidae.
CCCCUCUCAGGAUCGCACCUGGAGAGUUUCCAGUACUCUAUCAGUCUCGGCUACUGGAGGGAGAGUCAAGCAGAGGCCUACCCAUUCCAUUCCCAGCUUGGGCAGUGGCUAGCGAGUGGAAGGCAAUCUGCUGCAAGU